RNAcentral lists this ribosomal RNA (465 nucleotides) under uncultured bacterium. RNAcentral's name for it is "partial 16S ribosomal RNA". It matches the Rfam family "Bacterial small subunit ribosomal RNA", at positions 29 to 507 of the family's 1533-position model. The record is from RNAcentral.
AAUGAACGUUGGCGGCGUGGAUUAGGCAUGCAAGUCGAGCGAGAACCCCGCAAGGGGGGACAGCGGCGAAAGGGACAGUAAUGUGUAGAUUAUCUGCCCUCAGGUCCGGGAUAGCUGCGGGAAACUGCAGGUAAUACCGGAUAACAUCUCCGGAUCAAAGGUGUGAUUCCGCCUGAGGAUGAGUCUGCAUCCUAUUAGCUAGUUGGUGGGGUAAUGGCCUACCAAGGCAUUGAUGGGUAGCAGGUGUGAGAGCACGACCUGCGUCAUUGGGACUGAGACACUGCCCAGACACCUACGGGUGGCUGCAGUCGAGAAUCUUCGGCAAUGGGCGCAAGCCUGACCGGGCGCCGCCGCGUGUGGGAUGAAGGCCUUCGGGUUGUAAACCACUGUCAGAGGGGAUGAAAUGCAGGUGGGCUCUCCCAUCUGUUUGACAUAGCCUCAGAGGAAGGACGGGCUAAGUUCGUG